GCUGAAGCAGGUCCCAAGGGUAUGGCUGUUCGCCAUUUAAAGAGGUACGCGAGCUGGGUUUAGAACGUCGUGAGACAGUUCGGUCCCUAUCUACCGUGGGCGCUGGAAAUUUGAGAGGAUCUGCUCCUAGUACGAGAGGACCAGAGUGGACGAACCUCUGGUGUACCGGUUGUGACGCCAGUCGCAUCGCCGGGUAGCUAUGUUCGGAAGGGAUAACCGCUGAAAGCAUCUAAGCGGGAAGCCUACCUCAAGAUAAGAUUUCCCUAGGACUUUAUGUCCUCUAAAGAGCCGUUCGAGACUAGGACGUUGAUAGGUUGGAUGUGGAAGCAUAGUGAUAUGUGAAGCUGACCAAUACUAAUUGCUCGUGAGGCUUGACUAUACAACACCCAAGCAGUUG
RNAcentral lists this ribosomal RNA (397 nucleotides) under Acinetobacter baumannii. RNAcentral describes it as "partial 23S ribosomal RNA". It matches the Rfam family "Bacterial large subunit ribosomal RNA", at positions 2552 to 2925 of the family's 2925-position model. Lineage: Bacteria; Pseudomonadati; Pseudomonadota; Gammaproteobacteria; Moraxellales; Moraxellaceae. The record is from RNAcentral.